GGUGCUGUGGCGCAGUGGGUUAACGCCCUGGCCUGAAGUGCCAGUAUCGCAUAUGGGUGCCAGUUCUA
RNAcentral lists this transfer RNA (68 nucleotides) under Oryctolagus cuniculus (rabbit). It matches the Rfam family "tRNA". Rfam says of the family: Transfer RNA (tRNA) molecules are approximately 80 nucleotides in length. Their secondary structure includes four short double-helical elements and three loops (D, anti-codon, and T loops). Further hydrogen bonds mediate the characteristic L-shaped molecular structure. tRNAs have two regions of fundamental functional importance: the anti-codon, which is responsible for specific mRNA codon recognition, and the 3' end, to which the tRNAs corresponding amino acid is attached (by aminoacyl-tRNA synthetases). tRNAs cope with the degeneracy of the genetic code in two manners: having more than one tRNA (with a specific anti-codon) for a particular amino acid; and 'wobble' base-pairing, i.e. permitting non-standard base-pairing at the 3rd anti-codon position. Lineage: Eukaryota; Metazoa; Chordata; Mammalia; Lagomorpha; Leporidae. The record is from Rfam by way of RNAcentral.